GGAGAGAUGGCUCAGCGGUUGAGAGCACUGGCUGUUCUUCAGAGAACCUGAGUUCAAUUCCCAGUCCCCACA
This 72-nucleotide transfer RNA is filed under the name Rattus norvegicus (Norway rat). It matches the Rfam family "tRNA". From Rfam's summary of the family: Transfer RNA (tRNA) molecules are approximately 80 nucleotides in length. Their secondary structure includes four short double-helical elements and three loops (D, anti-codon, and T loops). Further hydrogen bonds mediate the characteristic L-shaped molecular structure. tRNAs have two regions of fundamental functional importance: the anti-codon, which is responsible for specific mRNA codon recognition, and the 3' end, to which the tRNAs corresponding amino acid is attached (by aminoacyl-tRNA synthetases). tRNAs cope with the degeneracy of the genetic code in two manners: having more than one tRNA (with a specific anti-codon) for a particular amino acid; and 'wobble' base-pairing, i.e. permitting non-standard base-pairing at the 3rd anti-codon position. Lineage: Eukaryota; Metazoa; Chordata; Mammalia; Rodentia; Muridae. The record is from Rfam by way of RNAcentral.